This is a long non-coding RNA of Alosa sapidissima (American shad), 1043 nucleotides long. RefSeq lists it as uncharacterized. The record is from RefSeq and is a predicted model, not a curated record. The transcript is spliced from 4 exons. Lineage: Eukaryota; Metazoa; Chordata; Actinopteri; Clupeiformes; Clupeidae.
UAAUAUCUAUUGUCUAUCAACAAAGUUUGAAAUAGCUAUAUUGUCAGUUACUACAGCGAUAGCAGUGCUGGCAAAUCACAUUUUUAACUCAGAAAAGUUAGCAUUCCUUUCCAACUGGCAUGUGGUUUUAACGUUGACCCUAACAGUAUUUUGUUUCAGGCUUAAAACUAAAUGCAGUGCCGCUAUUGUAAAUUUACACAUCUGCAGCAAGACAUCCUGCUUACUGUAAGCACUACAGGCUUCAUCAUUGGCAAGCAGACCACAGAUCUAACUACUUAUAGACGGUCUGCUGUUCUUCAUGGUCUUCCCCUGUACUUAAGAGAGCCAUCUGCAAUUUCAAAGACUAUUAAGGAUACUGACUGAAGCACUGGGGCCACACACAAAAGCCAUGAACAUGGGGAUCCUGGAAGUACUGACAGUUCUACCAACUCAGGACCAUAUCCCACAGUGGUCAAUGUGGCUGUAGUACUGGAGGAGGAAGUUGUCAUGGACAAUCUGGGAGACUUCCCAAAUGCCCUCAUGAUGCUCUUUGGUCUGCUUUAUGCUCUAAAUAUGGAGUACCCUAAGGACUUAAGGUACACAUUCGAGGCAGUCCAGACGAUUCUCUUAAACCUGGGGAAAAGUGCACAGCAAGGAUACAGUCCUUGAAGAAAGAGUUAUUACAGGUGUAAUGGUCAUUACAGUACAUGUUAAUUGCCAGUCAUUGAGGUAUUUUGAGGUAUCAAAGGUUUCAUGCAAAUGUUUCUGUUAAAUGGCAGUGACUUUUUUUGUUUGAUUUUUGUAACUGUUCUGGAACAUGUCACAAAUCAUUUUGAACCAAUUUUACAUCAGAUGUUCACAGGCAAAGCUGUCAUGUUUUACUUUUGUUUCAUUUUGUAAAGCAGAUAUUUGUUUUUCCAGUACAUCUAUUGAGUGACAUGCCAUGCUUUCUUGAACUCUCAGAUCUUGUUUCUAGGACACUGGUUGAAUACUUGUGUAAUAUUGCACUUGAGCCUUACAGACGAGUUCAUAUGGAUUUAAAUAAAUAAAUAAAAUGUACUUUA